AACGAACGCUGGCGGCAUGCCUAACACAUGCAAGUCGAACGAGACCUUCGGGUCUAGUGGCGCACGGGUGCGUAACGCGUGGGAACCUGCCCUUAGGUUCGGAAUAACUCCCCGAAAGGGGUGCUAAUACCGGAUAAUGUCUUCGGACCAAAGAUUUAUCGACUUUGGAUGGGCCCGCGUUCGAUUAGCUAGUUGGUAGGGUAAAAGCCUACCAAGGCGACGAUCCAUAGCUGGGCUGAGAGGAUGAUCAGCCACACUGGGACUGGGACACGGCCCAGACUCCUACGGGAGGCAGCAGUGGGGAAUAUUGGACAAUGGGCUAAAGCCUGAUCCAGCAAUGCCGCGUGAGUGAUGAAGGCCUUAGGGUUGUAAAGCUCUUUUACCCGGGAUGAUAAUGACAGUACCGGGAGAAUAAGCUCCGGCUAACUCCGUG
RNAcentral lists this ribosomal RNA (433 nucleotides) under uncultured bacterium. RNAcentral's name for it is "partial 16S ribosomal RNA". It matches the Rfam family "Bacterial small subunit ribosomal RNA", at positions 29 to 507 of the family's 1533-position model. The record is from RNAcentral.